Long non-coding RNA from Monopterus albus (swamp eel), 2467 nucleotides. RefSeq lists it as uncharacterized. The record is from RefSeq and is a predicted model, not a curated record. The transcript is spliced from 4 exons. Lineage: Eukaryota; Metazoa; Chordata; Actinopteri; Synbranchiformes; Synbranchidae.
GAGAGAGCAGGAGAGAGAAAGGCAGAAGAGAGGCAGGUGCUGCGAAUGGCCGGCAUCGCAAGAUUUUAUAAGGGAGAGGUGUAAAAUUCACCAGAUCCUCAAAAGGAGGCAAAAGCAAGUACCAUUGGAUAGGUUUCUUGUUAAAGUCGCACAAAAAGAAAAAAGAUUUCAGCGAGCCAACAGAUAGCAGAUAGCUCCUUGCCCUCAUGUCCCUCACGCCACCCAUGCUUCUUUUCAAAGGAGAGCUUUGGAUUACGAGCAACUUGCCGGAACAAAUUAUACUCACAAUCCAAGUCUCCCACAGGUGUUCAACUGGGUUGAGAUCUGGUGACUGUGAAGGCCACAGAAUAUGAUUCACCUCAUUUUAAUACUCAUCAAACCAUUCAGUGACACCCCUUGCCCUGUGGAUGGAGGUGCUGUCAUCCUGGAAGAGACCACUCCCACCAAGAUAGAAAUGUUUCAUCACAGGAUAAAGGUAUUCAUCACCACUUUGCUCAUUGCUCGUUGGCUGAAUGAUGAAAAUUUUCCACAACCAUAUGCACUUCCCAAAUGGAAUUACUCUGCCUCAGAAGAAGAAAGGGGUGAAGAAAAUGAAAGAUUUGCCUGGACAGACAAGAUGAGACAAGUUCUGUUGAUGAAUGACAAUGAAGCUGACUUGAUACAGUAUCUCAGAAAAGUUUUAAAUGAAAGACUUCGCUGAGCUCACUGAGAGGAAUGCAGUUCUUAUUGAAUCUGUCAAUGGUGCCCGGCAUCCACAGUAUUGUUGUUUCUCAACAUGACAUCAAUUUAUGAUGACUCUAAACAUAAUUGCACAGGGUAGAGCUGAAUCCUAUACUGUCUAACCCCCACCCCCCAAUAGCUAUUAAUGUUUGGUUGUGCAUCCAUCAAGUUCCUAUUUAUGAAGUUACAUUUGCUAAUUUACAUUGUCAAAGCACCAGUCUAUCAUAAUUGCCUCACUGUUUGUUUGAUCAUCGGUUCAUCCUAGUAUUGCUCUGUGAAGAGAAUAUAACAUAAUUGCUUGUCUAAUCACACCAGGUUCACAUUUAUUUUGCCAAAUCAUAUGACCUCAGUGAGACUGAAUUCCUUAAAAAGGACCACCAAUUUGUGCAUCAGAAUAUUUUAACUAAAUAUUGUGUAAAUGUUUUUAGUAUAACUGCCAUUGGAACUGAGUUAAUGUAUGAAGUACAAAGUAGUAAGAUAUGAAAUCCUAUUGUAGGUACUACAGUAAUUGUGCAUCAAAAGAGAGGCAAGCUGUAUCCAUGUUUUAAUGCGGAAAAUAUGAGAGUGUGAAAUCCACAGCUUCACAGACAUACCAGAAAGCCUUUGUUCAACUGGAUUUGCCUAGAAGGAAUGAACAAUCUAAUCAAAGCUUGUUCCCCCUAAAGAAUACUGUUAAUGAGUUACAGCAUUCCCGACAUUUUUAUUCAGUCUUGUGGGUAUAUAUUCUAAUAAUUAUUGAUGUCUAAUUAUCACCAAAAUGCUGUAAAAUGUUCCAAAGAUGGACAGCAUCAGUGUGUUGCAGGCAUAAAACAUAAUGCCACUAUCACUGAUGUAGAAUAUUUAGAAAGCUGAUAUUUAAUGAUGAAAACAUUUUGAGAUUUACAUUUUUCUGCUGAAAAUGAUCAGUGAUUGCAAGGACACAGUGGAUGUUUAACAGAUCAACAAUGACAGCAGUUCUGUGUCACCAAAUGCUAUCGUUGUUGCAGCAUGUUGCUCCUCUGACUGAACUGUUUGACACCCGCUGUCACUCCUCAGCAACCCACAUGCCAGGCCAGGGAAGUACACAACAGAUGGAAAUGGAAGUGAAAAUAAUUAUGCUAAACAAAUUGGUUUUUUGUAGUGGCAUUUCUCCAUUUCACAUUCCAGUAAAUGUUGCAUUGUCCAUUGUCAGUAUGACAGCCAAGAAUGCCUGGAUUGCUAUUCCUACUGGAAUCAAACCCACAAAGUGCUUUUUACCACUGUGACACAUUAACUGUACCACGUGGGACAAGUGGUCUGCAAUUCAAUUUUAUUGUUUGAUUUUUUUUUUAAAUUAAACUAUUAAGCCAUGAUAAUUAGACAUGGACUUUAGGAUCACUCUGUACAAUAGCCCUCCUCUUCAGUCUUGCAAGCCAGACUCUCUCCAUAUCCAAAAAUGUAUUCCAACAAGAGAACAUUUGGCACAAGUCAUAGUGUAUAUAAAAGAAAGUAAAAUUAACCUAGGGAAAUGAAGCAAAAUACUAACACACCCAAAUUAUAUAUAUAUAUACACACACACACACACACACACACACAUAUUAAGCUGCCUUUUAUUGUACCUUUAAAAUGUUGUCAUCACCACUGUGGCCAGAAAGAUUGAAUAUCAAGAUGCAAGAAGCAUAAGUCCCACACUGUAAUUUGCCUCCCAGUGCUGUAAUGCAUUAUAUCCAGUAACUUAUUAUGAUAUCAGUUACUGCCUUUGUUUUACAUGUAGACACGUUGAAGGAGG